This 1292-nucleotide ribosomal RNA is filed under the name Escherichia coli. RNAcentral describes it as "partial 23S ribosomal RNA". It matches the Rfam family "Bacterial large subunit ribosomal RNA", at positions 1656 to 2925 of the family's 2925-position model. The record is from RNAcentral. Lineage: Bacteria; Pseudomonadati; Pseudomonadota; Gammaproteobacteria; Enterobacterales; Enterobacteriaceae.
GACACAGGUGGUCAGGUAGAGAAUACCAAGGCGUUUGAGAGAACUCGGGUGAAGGAACUAGGCAAAAUGGUGCCGUAACUUCGGGAGAAGGCACGCUGAUAUGUAGGUGAAGUCCCUCGCGGAUGGAGCUGAAAUCAGUCGAAGAUACCAGCUGGCUGCAACUGUUUAUUAAAAACACAGCACUGUGCAAACACGAAAGUGGACGUAUACGGUGUGACGCCUGCCCGGUGCCGGAAGGUUAAUUGAUGGGGUCAGCGCAAGCGAAGCUCUUGAUCGAAGCCCCGGUAAACGGCGGCCGUAACUAUAACGGUCCUAAGGUAGCGAAAUUCCUUGUCGGGUAAGUUCCGACCUGCACGAAUGGCGUAAUGAUGGCCAGGCUGUCUCCACCCGAGACUCAGUGAAAUUGAACUCGCUGUGAAGAUGCAGUGUACCCGCGGCAAGACGGAAAGACCCCGUGAACCUUUACUAUAGCUUGACACUGAACAUUGAGCCUUGAUGUGUAGGAUAGGUGGGAGGCUUUGAAGUGUGGACGCCAGUCUGCAUGGAGCCGACCUUGAAAUACCACCCUUUAAUGUUUGAUGUUCUAACGUGGACCCGUGAUCCGGGUUGCGGACAGUGUCUGGUGGGUAGUUUGACUGGGGCGGUCUCCUCCUAAAGAGUAACGGAGGAGCACGAAGGUUGGCUAAUCCUGGUCGGACAUCAGGAGGUUAGUGCAAUGGCAUAAGCCAGCUUGACUGCGAGCGUGACGGCGCGAGCAGGUGCGAAAGCAGGUCAUAGUGAUCCGGUGGUUCUGAAUGGAAGGGCCAUCGCUCAACGGAUAAAAGGUACUCCGGGGAUAACAGGCUGAUACCGCCCAAGAGUUCAUAUCGACGGCGGUGUUUGGCACCUCGAUGUCGGCUCAUCACAUCCUGGGGCUGAAGUAGGUCCCAAGGGUAUGGCUGUUCGCCAUUUAAAGUGGUACGCGAGCUGGGUUUAGAACGUCGUGAGACAGUUCGGUCCCUAUCUGCCGUGGGCGCUGGAGAACUGAGGGGGGCUGCUCCUAGUACGAGAGGACCGGAGUGGACGCAUCACUGGUGUUCGGGUUGUCAUGCCAAUGGCACUGCCCGGUAGCUAAAUGCGGAAGAGAUAAGUGCUGAAAGCAUCUAAGCACGAAACUUGCCCCGAGAUGAGUUCUCCCUGACCCUUUAAGGGUCCUGAAGGAACGUUGAAGACGACGACGUUGAUAGGCCGGGUGUGUAAGCGCAGCGAUGCGUUGAGCUAACCGGUACUAAUGAACCGUGAGGCUUAACCUU